CAGGCUUGCAAAAGCUCUGAAACCACUGUUUAUCUACCUGAAUCUGCUUCGGCGGGCGGCCCCAGGGCGGGGCCAUUGCCGCGAGGCGCCCGCCGAAGACCCCUAAACUCUGUCGUCUUGAGAAUCUCUGAGUAUCAUUUUAAAACAAAAAA
Molecule: unclassified non-coding RNA, 152 nt
Filed under: uncultured Cephalotheca
Lineage: Eukaryota; Fungi; Ascomycota; Sordariomycetes; Cephalothecales; Cephalothecaceae
Description: sequence contains ITS1
Source: RNAcentral